GACGAACGCUGGCGGCGUGCUUAACACAUGCAAGUCGAACGGAAAGGCCCUGCUUUUGUGGGGUGCUCGAGUGGCGAACGGGUGAGUAACACGUGAGUAACCUGCCCUUGACUUUGGGAUAACUUCAGGAAACUGGGGCUAAUACCGGAUAGGAGCUCCUGCUGCAUGGUGGGGGUUGGAAAGUUUCGGUGGUUGGGGAUGGACUCGCGGCUUAUCAGCUUGUUGGUGGGGUAGUGGCUUACCAAGGCUUUGACGGGUAGCCGACCUGAGAGGGUGACCGGCCACAUUGGGACUGAGAUACGGCCCAGACUCCUACGGGAGGCAGCAGUGGGGAAUAUUGCACAAUGGGCGGAAGCCUGAUGCAGCAACGCCGCGUGCGGGAUGACGGCCUUCGGGUUGUAAACCGCUUUCGCCUGUGACGAAGCGUGAGUGACGGUAAUGGGUAAAGAAGCACCGGCUAACUACGUG
This 468-nucleotide ribosomal RNA is filed under the name uncultured bacterium. RNAcentral's name for it is "partial 16S ribosomal RNA". It matches the Rfam family "Bacterial small subunit ribosomal RNA", at positions 28 to 507 of the family's 1533-position model. The record is from RNAcentral.